Non-coding RNA from Triticum urartu, 404 nucleotides. The record is from RefSeq and is a predicted model, not a curated record. Lineage: Eukaryota; Viridiplantae; Streptophyta; Magnoliopsida; Poales; Poaceae.
CUCGAGCUCGGCAUGCUCGCCCGGACGCCGAGGCUCCUCCCUCCUCCUGAUUUAGUAAACAUCGCCGCCGCCGCCAUGAGCCUCUCCACCCUCUCCCGCGCUCGUCCCAGUUCCAGGUGCAUCACCUCACUCCGUGCAAUGUUCGGACCCCUAGGGUUAUCUGCUCGGGGGCCAUGGCGUGUUCCGCGCGGUGCUGCCUUCGCCGCCGCCGCCGCCCGGCGGUGAGGGCGCUGGCUUGUGUCUCGUGGGUCGCUGCCUGACUUCCAGUCUGGGGAGACGGGCUUCAUUGGCCAAUAAAUAGGGACGGGAAGGUCCGAGACUGGAGGUCCCUGCUCGCAAACUCGCAAUCCCGGCAGCUAUUCUAUUACCAAUCGAAAAAGAGAGAAGAAGAAGGCACCGAAAGG